GAUGAACGCUGGCGGCGUGCCUAAUACAUGCAAGUCGAGCGAACAGACGAGGAGCUUGCUCCUCUGACGUUAGCGGCGGACGGGUGAGUAACACGUGGAUAACCUACCUAUAAGAAUGGGAUAACUUCGGGAAACCGGAGCUAAUACAGGAUAAUAUAUUGAACCGCAUGGUUCAAUAGUGAAAGACGGUUUUGCUGUCACUUAUAGAUGGAUCCGCGCCGCAUUAGCUAGUUGGUAAGGUAACGGCUUACCAAGGCAACGAUGCGUAGCCGACCUGAGAGGGCGAUCAGCCACACUGGAACUGAGACACGGCCCAGACUCCUACGGGAGGCAGCAGUAGGGAAUCUUCCGCAAAGGGCGAAAGCCUGAUGGAGCAACGCCGCGUGAGUGAUGAAGGCCUUCGGAUCGUAAAACUCUGUUAUUAGGGAAGAACACCUGUGUAAGUAUCUAUGCACGUCUUGACGGUACCGAAUCAGAAAGCCCCGGCUAACUACGUG
This 497-nucleotide ribosomal RNA is filed under the name uncultured bacterium. Its description in RNAcentral is "partial 16S ribosomal RNA". It matches the Rfam family "Bacterial small subunit ribosomal RNA", at positions 28 to 507 of the family's 1533-position model. The record is from RNAcentral.